AAUUGCUCGAGUUCUGUAACGUUGAAUGUAGAUGACGACACCCUGGACUACUGGAGUGGGCAAUUUGGGAGAACUGAAUGACGAUACCCUCAUCAGAUCUAGUUCAUACCUAAAGUAUCAAGUAUGAAGCUUGAAGCUGACUUCAGGGGGUUUCUCUAUUACAUGGAUAUGAUGAAUAUAUUAUUGUGCAGGGAACAACGACUUCAGGCCGAUGAUUUUUUUUAUCCUCCUGUUUUUGAUGGAAUCCUUUUGUUUGGUUUCAGUUGUAUCGUUGCAGUUGGUUGCAUGGAAUGAAUUUUUUUGCAAGUUAUCUUCAAACCAUCA
Molecule: non-coding RNA, 324 nt
Organism: Phoenix dactylifera (date palm)
Lineage: Eukaryota; Viridiplantae; Streptophyta; Magnoliopsida; Arecales; Arecaceae
Source: RefSeq, a predicted model, not a curated record